This 468-nucleotide ribosomal RNA is filed under the name uncultured bacterium. Its description in RNAcentral is "partial 16S ribosomal RNA". It matches the Rfam family "Bacterial small subunit ribosomal RNA", at positions 28 to 507 of the family's 1533-position model. The record is from RNAcentral.
GACGAACGCUGGCGGCGUGCUUAACACAUGCAAGUCGAACGGAAAGGCCCUGCUUUUGUGGGGUGCUCGAGUGGCGAACGGGUGGGUAACGCGUGAGUAACCUGCCCUUGACUUUGGGAUAACUUCAGGAAACUGGGGCUAAUACCGGAUAGGAGCUCCUGCUGCAUGGUGGGGGUUGGAAAGUUUCGGCGGUUGGGGAUGGACUCGCGGCUUAUCAGCUUGUUGGUGGGGUAGUGGCUUACCAAGGCUUUGACGGGUAGCCGGCCUGAGAGGGUGACCGGCCACAUUGGGACUGAGAUACGGCCCAGACUCCUACGGGAGGCAGCAGUGGGGAAUAUUGCACAAUGGGCGGAAGCCUGAUGCAGCAACGCCGCGUGCGGGAUGACGGCCUUCGGGUUGUAAACCGCUUUCGCCUGUGACGAAGCGUGAGUGACGGUAAUGGGUAAAGAAGCACCGGCUAACUACGUG